Planococcus citri (citrus mealybug) is the source of this 1470-nucleotide long non-coding RNA. RefSeq lists it as uncharacterized. The transcript is spliced from 2 exons. The record is from RefSeq and is a predicted model, not a curated record. Lineage: Eukaryota; Metazoa; Arthropoda; Insecta; Hemiptera; Pseudococcidae.
GAAUCGACUAAUUCUUUGAAAAAUUUGUUCAACAAUUUGAAAAUGAAAUUCACCUCGUGACUCAGGUGGUGGUUCUGCAUCACUAGCGCCACAAAAGUUACCUACCGAAGAGGCGAGUGCACUGCCAGUUGCCACCUACAACCUACAUUUCUUAUCAGUUGCAACUGGUUAUCUUUCCCUCACGUGAAUGAAAAUUGAAAAUUUUGGUUACCGGCAUCGAUCUCUCUGAAACGUGAAAUGUGAAUUACUUUGCAAGAAAUUUAGAACUAUUAUAUUAUCGUAUUCGUAGAGUUUGAAUUUAUCAAGUUUCAAGUGGUUGUAGAGUGAUCCGAAGUCAUGCUCAGACCUUUCUCGUUACCGAAGUUCCUGCGAGCCCAACGCGAAAAACGACCUCUAGUUCUCGAACCUAUGUACGAUUUCACGUUCAAGAAGUUGUUCGAUCCAACGAAAAACAAGCCUGUUCUUCGAAAUUUUCUCAACAGCAUGUUAUCCGGGUUAACCCUGACGAACGGUGACAAAAUAGAAAAUGUCGAACUACUGGAUUCUAUUCCUGAUUUUCUCAAAGAUGCUGAUGGACGAGUAAAACAGGAUGUUAUAACCGAUGUAUUAUGCAAGUCUACGAAUGGCGAACAGUUCAUCGUGAAUUUGAGUAUGCAGCAACAGCACCACCCGCAUUUUUUGACCCAUUUGGUGUGGCAUGGAUUUCACAUUUAUGGAAAGCAAAUCAGUGAAGAAAAAUUAUAUUCUUCGCCUCGAGGCUUUGAGUUAUUAAAACCAGUCGCCAUGUUGGCAAUCUGCAAUUUCUCAGUGUCCGGUUUAACGAAGAAGGAUUAUAUAACAAGAUGUGAAUUCAAAACAGGAGAGAACCUGGAACUAAUAACACCUUGGUCAAAACUGUUAUCAUAUGUGUUUGUUGAACUGCCCAGAUUUUCAAUUACCAACCUCGAUGAAAUUAAGACUGACGCUGAUAAAUGGAGUUUCUUUCUCAAGUACGCUGCAGAUGAAGAUCAAAAGUCAGCGAUUCAACAACUCGUAAAUAGUGAUGCGGAUUUUAAAAAAGCCUACGAAGUACAUAUUGCACGCUGAUAAUUGGUCUUUGGCUGAAUUGGCUCAGUUUGCCGGGGUUACCACUGAUGAAGAUCUCAUCGAAACUAUUCGUCGCGAAGAGAAACAAUACAUUGCCGAGAACCUGUUACGAAAUAUUGACUAAUUUGGAAAUGAACGAAGUCGGAGAGUUGCGAAAACAAGUCGAGGAUGAAAAAGAUCAUCCUGUAUAGUUCAUAUUUUUAUCUUUGUGUUCAUGCUCAGUUUUUUGAAAUGUUUUUUUUUUACCAAAUUAUUCAUAAUGAACAGAUUGCUUCCUUUUUUGUUCCUACGUAAAGAUGAAGUACCUAUAAAAUUAAUUUUUGUUAUCUAUUGAGAAUAAAUCGUGAUGUUUAGCAGUACAAUAAAAGUCUGGUGAAAUUGAAA